AUCGCUUCUCGGCCUUUUGGCUAAGAUCAAAGUGUAGUAUCUGUUCUUUUCAGCUUAAUAUCUGAAAGUUCCCUCACUGAGGGACCAGUAUUAGACAUGGGAAAAACGUAUCAUUGAAAAGAAAAGAUUGAUAUGUAUCAUUUGAUCACAGGGAUAUGUAUCACUCUUUUGUAUCUCUAUAUCCU
This is a small nuclear RNA of Helicoverpa zea (corn earworm), 185 nucleotides long. RefSeq annotates it as U2 spliceosomal RNA. The record is from RefSeq and is a predicted model, not a curated record. The transcript has a single exon. NCBI's taxonomy places the organism in Eukaryota, Metazoa, Arthropoda, Insecta, Lepidoptera, Noctuidae.